AUGUCAGUCACUUAUAAAAGUUGUGUUUUCAGGUUUUUGUUGUGUGUGUGUGUGUGUCGGUGUGUGUCGGUGUGUGUUUGUGUUCACUGUUGUGUGAAGGAGGUUUUUGUACGAUGGUUAAACAGGAUUCAAUCACUGUGGCUCACGUUUGGUGGAGGAACCAAACUCAUUGUAAACACCGGCUCCGUGGUCAGGCCCUCAGUCUCUCUUCUUGGCCCCUCCUCUGAGCAGCUCUCCGGGGGCUCGGCCACACUGGUCUGCCUGCUGACCUCCUACUCUCCUCAGGGAGCCUCGGUGGUCUGGGAGGCGGACGGGACAGAGGUGACAGAGGGGGUCCUGAGCAGCUCGGAGGAGGACAGGAGUGGAUUCUACAGCAGCAGCAGCACCCUGAACCUGAGCCGGGAGCGCUGGCUGGAAGGAGAGCGGUUCUCCUGUAAGGUCCUCCAUCAGGGGAACAGUCAGACCCAGUCGCUCCUCAGGAGCCAGUGUGAGGGUUAGAGGAGCUGCUUGAAGGUCAGGACAGGAGCUCUGUACAAACAAGCUGUCAAUGUGCUGAGAAACUGUCAUGUUGAUGUUUGGAUAAUAAAGAUUGAACUGAGAAACA
Molecule: non-coding RNA, 604 nt
Organism: Thalassophryne amazonica
Lineage: Eukaryota; Metazoa; Chordata; Actinopteri; Batrachoidiformes; Batrachoididae
Source: the annotation of a RefSeq genome assembly